RNAcentral lists this long non-coding RNA (4457 nucleotides) under Nicotiana tabacum (common tobacco). RNAcentral's name for it is "long non-coding RNA (NTAB_LNC019592)". The record is from RNAcentral. Lineage: Eukaryota; Viridiplantae; Streptophyta; Magnoliopsida; Solanales; Solanaceae.
UUUUCUCUAUAUCUCUUUCUUCACCAUUUCUGAUCCCUCUUGUACCCAUAACCUCCCCUCUCCCCCCUUCUGCUCCUCGUUGCCGACCACCUUGCAUCACCAACCGAAAAACUCUUAUAUUAAAUCAAAAGGCUGUCAAAGAUAAUAGACACAAUAAAAUUGUGAGGCCUUUUGAAUAGCGUAAAAAUAAUCUUCAAAAUUUACAGAAAACGGUAAAAUAAAUGGUGGAGAUAACUUGGCAGAAAGAUGAUAUCGCCGGAAUCAUCAUUUUUUCCGGUAAGAAAUAUUGUAAAAAAAAAUGGGAAAAAGAAAUAAGAAAGGAAAUAAAGAAAAAAGAAAAAAGAAAAUAAAAAUAUAGAUGAAAAAAAAAAGAAGUAAAAUGAAAAGGAAAAAAAUAUAAUUGUAAAACAAAAUUUGCUUCUCACGAGAAUCAUUAACUUAUCCUCCGAAAUACUACAAGGAAGAAGACAAAUAUGAAAAUAAAAAAAGAAAAGAAAGAAAAAAAAGAAAAAAGUUAAGGCAUUAAUAAAGAAAGAAUAGAAAAGGGUAGAAAAAAGAAAAAAAUAAAAGAAAAUGGAAGAAGCUAGCUGGGGUGUGUGAAAAUGGUGGAUGGAGUAAUAAGGGAGAAGUAAACAAGAAAGAGAAUAAAUAAAAAAAAAAAAAUGAAAUUUUAGGGCUUUCACGCGCAUUCAUCCACAUCAGCUCAAAAUCUGGUAUUAAUCUCAUUUCAAACAAAUGCAAUCCCUACAAAGUAUGAUGGUGCAACUGGUAAAGUAGGACAAUCCCAGGGUAAGCGUUAUCUUAAUUUUAAGGCCAAAUACCUAUACAACCCAUUAAACUUGAUCUCAGUUUCCAUUUAGACACUUCAACUAACGACAGUACCUAUUAAACACUGUAACUCAAACAAAAGUGUAUCUAUUAAACACAAAUGUUGACAUGGAAUAUUUGUGUGAGUUGCACCUAAAUUAGGCGCGUGAAAUAAUGUUCAUCAUUUCUUUUUCUUUUUUUUUUAUUUGUUUCAAAAUAUUUCUUUUCCCCCACUUAUACAACAGCCACCAACACUCACCGUGUAACCAUUAGACCAUCGCCACUCUUUAUCCAUUACCGCCACCAUUCUCCAUCAUUCCCCAAAGAUCGAUCAGCUACAAACAUGUGACAUCCUAUUAAAAAAAAUACCAUCUUCUUCCUCACCACAUUCUACCACCACUCACCAUAGUUCAAAGAUAAAAGAUUUUAAAGUUCAAAAUGCUAGAAUUUGAGAAUCUGAGAAUUUUUAAAAUUAACGUGAUUUAUCCCAGAAAUUAGAGGCAAAGCCACCACAAUAUUAAAUAAAACAGAGAGAAACCCAGCAAAAAAAACCAAUAAUUUCACCUACUAAUAAAUCAAAAUGGAUUCUUCACAUCUAAAUCAAGCAAUUUCAAAAGUGAUGAGGCAUAAUUUCGUAAAUCACUGCAGUCCUGACGAAAUCGAAAAAAACUUGGAAGCUCCAAAACAAUAUUGGCCGACAAAGUCAAGCCAACCAUUAUUCUUCCAAUAAGAUCGAUUGACUAGAAACGAAAAAAAAUAGAUUUAUCUUUCAAUAUUUUCUCGUUUUCUCCUUAAAGAAAAAAUAAUCAAAUGUUUAUCAACUUGCGGUGGUGUCACAACAGUGAAUAUAGUAGGUUGUGAAUUUUUUUUGUUAUUUUUGCUGGUCAUGAAAUUAGGUAGACAUUAAAGAUGGAUUGCAGAAGAAAUGGAGGACUUUAGAAAUUGGGGGAUAAUAAGUGAAGUGAAAUCUUAAUAUAUUAGUUAGUUGACUGUGAAGUAUUUGAUAUGAUACUUUUUUGGGAGAAAGAAGAUGACAAAAGGUGGAGAGAGAUAAGAGAAGAAGACGGGCGGGGGGGUUGCUGGGAGAAAAAAUAAUGUUUGUCUCUGUUUUUAUUUUGCUGACUUGUUAUUUUCUUAUUGGUCUUAUUAGCAGGGUGACCAACAAGUAGCAUCCACGCAUUUAUGUAAGUUUAUAGUUGUCAAAUGUGUGUUUAAUGGGCACAUAUGGGAUGAAGUUGAAGCGUUUAAUAAGUACUGGCCCUAGUUGAACUGUCUAAAUUGAAAUUGGAGCCAAGUUUAAGGAAUUGUCUAGGUAUUUGGCCUAAUUUUAAAGACUUAAAAAAAAUACCUCUUAGUCAAAGAAAAAUUAUGUAAUUUUCUAAAUAACAUUAGUGUCAUAAGUAUUUAGAAUAAUUUUUUGUUAUUUAUGGAAAAUAUAUUCUACGAAGCCAAAAAUUCUACUACCCUGCAUUAAAGUUAUAACAUGGACACUUGCUGGGGUAAUUAAAUUUAUAGGAUUCCCUCAUAGUACAAAAAAGGAAAUUAAAUAUAUGCUCCAUAUGCAAUGAUGUUUGAAACAUCUAACGUUGUUGUUUCAAACACCUAUCAUUGUCGUUAAAUCUACAAGAUCAUUAUGUUGAAGUAUUCUUAGGUUAAUCAAUAGGUUGACGUUUAAUCAAUAUGUGUCAUCUCGCGGAAGAUCAACAUUUGCCUUUUGUUCUCUUACUUUCCUUGUUUCCUCUUCUUCUUCCUUUUCUGUUUCCUCUUCUUUUUCUUUCUCUGUUUCUUCUUCUCUAGCAUUCCCUCGUAGUACAUUCCAUGUUUCCUCUUUAUUCUCUUUCUCAAUUUCCUCUUCAUUUUCUUUCUCUUUUUCUUCUUCUCCAACAUUUCCUCCUACUACUACCUGAAAAGGUUUGGCUUCCACUUCAACUAUAAUUAAUUUUUGUAGUUCAUCCUCUUGACAUGUCUUAAUUCUUUUGCUAGAUCUUUUGGAAAAAGAUUUAUCUCUUCCUCUUCCACCUGUCUUUGACACACAUUCCUUUUUUAUUUUAUCUGCACACACAAACAAGUAACGACCAUCAAUAAAAUAAAUAAAUAAUUUGUUCCUAACACAUAAAAACAUAAAACAAUAAGUAUUCAAGUAUUUUUUGGUAAAAUAUCUCAUUGAGAUGUUUGAAGCCUCAUAUAAGAUGUUUCAAACAUCUCAACAAGAUAUUUGAAACAUCUUACAGAGAUAUUUCAAACAUCUCUAAAGGUGCUGAAUUGUGGAAGUUGGUCUACAAGAUUGAGCUUAAGAGGCAAAAUCAAUUUUCUGUCAUCUACAAAUGCUAAGCAAGAUAUAGUAAUUUAAGUUUCUAGCUAGUUAGAUGGAGUUUGAAAGCAAGCUAACAAUGUUCAUAUUAUAGUUCUCCAAACUUCUUUAUCUAUAUGUCUUUAUCAAUAAUUUUCUUAAUCGUUAAAAUAAUCAACCAUCUCAUUGUGAUAAUCAAGUAUCUUUUGAUGAAACAUCUCAGGGAUUGUUAAAUAUCCUUAUAGAUAUUUCGAACAUCUUAAUGAGAUGUUUUAAACACUCAGCUCAAAAUAUCAUGAACCAAACCCAAAUAAAUAUUGCAAUAACUUUACAACAUACAACAAUAAUAACAAUAACAACACGAAUAUUUAGCAAUAUCUUAAGAUAUUUCAAACACUCAACUCACAUGUUUGAAACAUCUCGGCAAAAAAGUGUUCCCCAAAAUAGAGUAAUAUAGCUGUUUCAACAUCACAACAACUAAUUUUAUGGGCAUGUGGAAUAACCACAUCAACGACUACAAUUAAACAACAUAAAAAUAUCAAAUUUUCGAUCAAAAAUAUCAACUACACAACAACUCUAGAAUUUAGGCACAAAAAAAUACAAAACAACCAGAGGAUACAAAAACACUCAAAAAAUUAUUUUAGGAUUGAAAUAACAAGUUUAGGAUUUAUUAAUAUGGUAGAAAAAAGAAAAAAAACUUACCUUGAUGAUGGAAUCUCAACUCCAAAUCAAAUUUAAAUGGAAUGGAGCCGAUUUUUGGAGCCAUAUAGUACUCUUGAUUUUGGAGAUUGAAUUUGAGAGAAAAGUUGAAAAAGUUUAGGGGAUAAUCGUGUCUUGUUUUGAAAAGGGAAGAAAGAGACAAGUUAGAUUAGAAGAUGGGUUUUUUUAUUUUUUAGUAUUUUAAAUUUUACCCCAAACUUUUUUUAUUUCUAAUUUGACCGAGACAACCCCUAAUCAUUCUUAAUCAGUGAGCCUUAAGUUAAUCAAAAAGGGUGUCUCACAUACUUACACAAUAAUUGAAAUUAGUGAGCUAAUCUUUGCAUGUCAAAUUUAUUUUGUUUUGAUUUUUUUGAGUUUACCUUUCUAUUUGUCUUUUUAAUCUUAUUUUAUUCUUUUUCUUUUACAUUUUUCUCUCUAUAUCUCUUUCUUCACCAUUUCUGAUCCCUCUUGUACCCAUAACACCCCCCUUCCCCCUUUUCUCCUCAUUGCCGACCAUCCUACAUCACCCACCGAAAAACUCUUAUAUUAAAUCAAAAGAUUGCCGGAGAUAAUAGACAUGAUAAAGUUGUGAGGCCUUUUGAAUAGCGUAAAACUAAUCUUCUAAAUUUAUAAAAAAAAAAAAAAACAGGACAAUAAAUGG